This 425-nucleotide ribosomal RNA is filed under the name uncultured rumen bacterium. Its description in RNAcentral is "bacterial SSU rRNA". It matches the Rfam family "Bacterial small subunit ribosomal RNA", at positions 354 to 776 of the family's 1533-position model. The record is from RNAcentral.
GUGAGGAAUAUUGGACAAUGGCCGGAAGGCUGAUCCAGCCAUGCCGCGUGCGGGAGGACGGCCCUAUGGGUUGUAAACCGCUUUUGCGAGGGAGCAAUAAGAGUCACGUGUGGCUCGAUGAGAGUACCUCGCGAAUAAGCAUCGGCUAACUCCGUGCCAGCAGCCGCGGUAAUACGGAGGAUGCAAGCGUUAUCCGGAUUUAUUGGGUUUAAAGGGUGCGUAGGCGGUUUGCUAAGCGGGAGGUGAAAUGCCGGCGCUCAACGUCGGAAGUGCCUCCCGAACUGGUGGACUGGAAUGACUCUGCCGUGGGAGGAAUGUGUAGUGUAGCGGUGAAAUGCUUAGAGAUUACACAGAACACCGAUUGCGAAGGCAUCUCACGAAGGGUUGAUUGACGCUGAGGCACGAAAGCGUGGGGAUCAAACAGG